RNAcentral lists this ribosomal RNA (497 nucleotides) under uncultured bacterium. RNAcentral's name for it is "partial 16S ribosomal RNA". It matches the Rfam family "Bacterial small subunit ribosomal RNA", at positions 28 to 507 of the family's 1533-position model. The record is from RNAcentral.
GAUGAACGCUGGCGGCGUGCCUAAUACAUGCAAGUCGAGCGAACAGACGAGGAGCUUGCUCCUCUGACGUUAGCGGCGGACGGGUGAGUAACACGUGGAUAGCCUACCUAUAAGACUGGGAUAACUUCGGGAAACCGGAGCUAAUACCGGAUAAUAUAUUGAACCGCAUGGUUCAAUAGUGAAAGACGGUUUUGCUGUCCCUUAUAGAUGGAUCCGCGCCGCAUUAGCUAGUUGGUAAGGUAACGGCUUACCAAGGCAACGAUGCGUAGCCGACCUGAGAGGGUGAUCGGCCACACUGGAACUGAGACACGGUCCAGACUCCUACGGGAGGCAGCAGUAGGGAAUCUUCCGCAAUGGGCGAAAGCCUGACGGAGCAACGCCGCGUGAGUGAUGAAGGUCUUCGGAUCGUAAAACUCUGUUAUUAGGGAAGAACAAAUGUGUAAGUAACUAUGCACGUCUUGACGGUACCUAAUCAGAAAGCCACGGCUAACUACGUG